RNAcentral lists this ribosomal RNA (301 nucleotides) under uncultured bacterium. RNAcentral describes it as "partial 16S ribosomal RNA". It matches the Rfam family "Bacterial small subunit ribosomal RNA", at positions 509 to 809 of the family's 1533-position model. The record is from RNAcentral.
CAGUAGCCGCGGUAAUACGUAGGGUGCAAGCGUUAAUCGGAAUUACUGGGCGUAAAGCGUGCGUAGGCGGCUUCUUAAGUCGGAUGUGAAAUCCCUGAGCUUAACUUAGGAAUUGCAUUCGAUACUGGGAAGCUAGAGUAUGGGAGAGGAUGGUAGAAUUCCAGGUGUAGCGGUGAAAUGCGUAGAGAUCUGGAGGAAUACCGAUGGCGAAGGCAGCCAUCUGGCCUAAUACUGACGCUGAGGUACGAAAGCAUGGGGAGCAAACAGGAUUAGAUACCCCAGUAGUCCCUGUCUCUUAUAA